AUUUAGUCUAUGGUUGGGUUGUGACAUUUGUAAAUAUAAUUUUCAAAGAGAAAUAAAAAUAUUGUGAUAUUUUAUAGGGUAAUUAGAUUUAGAUGUGAGCAAGCCAUAUUUUAUAUGCUGAUAAAGCUAUUAAAGGUAUUAAAAAAGAUGAGAGUUCAAUAAAAUGGAUAAGGAUGAUCUCUGUUGAAAUAACAACAUUCUCUUGAAUAAUCUUUUUUUCAAUUGAUUAUUGUAUGAUAUUGUAAAAUUUUGAAUUUAAAAAAGAUUUGC
This 270-nucleotide long non-coding RNA is filed under the name Mytilus galloprovincialis (Mediterranean mussel). Lineage: Eukaryota; Metazoa; Mollusca; Bivalvia; Mytilida; Mytilidae. The record is from RNAcentral.